Molecule: unclassified non-coding RNA, 248 nt
Filed under: rhizosphere metagenome
Description: partial ribosomal RNA internal transcribed spacer region
Source: RNAcentral
GUAGGUGAACCUGCGGAAGGAUCAUUAAAGAGUAAGGGUCUUCUAGGCCCGACCUCCCAACCCUUUGUUUACCAAACCAUUGUUGCUUCGGCGGGCCCGUCCCAGGACCGCCGGAGGACCGUCAAACGUCCUCUGGCCCGCGCCCGUCGAUGGCCCCUAUCAUUAAACUCUGAACCAAACGUGUCCUGUCUGAGUGAUUAUUAUCAAAAAUUAAAGCAAAACUUUCAACAACGGAUCUCUUGGUUCUG